Molecule: long non-coding RNA, 161 nt
Filed under: Cavia porcellus (domestic guinea pig)
Lineage: Eukaryota; Metazoa; Chordata; Mammalia; Rodentia; Caviidae
Description: lncRNA (ENSCPOG00000034969.1)
Source: RNAcentral
CAGAGACCAGAGGCCUGAGGCCUGAGGCCAACUGCAAAGGAUGAGGAGAAACAUGACAUCCUGUUUCUCUACCAACAUCCUGAUUGUUCCCCUGACAUCCAUUGCUGAUUUCUGCAGUGAAAAAUAAUUGAGAAUAAAUGGCCUGCUGGUGUCCUCCCAAC